GCGACAGAUAGGAGCUUGCUUCCUUUUGACGUUAGCGGCGGACGGGUGAGUAACACGUUGGGUAACCUACCUAUAAGAACUGGAAUAACUUCCGGGAAACCGGGGCUAAUGCCGGAUAACAUUUAGAACCGCAUGGUUCUAAAGUGAAAGAUGGUUUUCGCUAUCACUUAUAGAUGGACCCGCGCCGUAUUAGCUAGUUGGUAAGGUAAUGGCUUACCAAGGCAACGAUACGUAGCCGACCUGAGAGGGUGAUCGGCCACACUGGAACUGAGACACGGUCCAGACUCCUACGGGAGGCAGCAGUAGGGAAUCUUCCGCAAUGGGCGAAAGCCUGACGGAGCAACGCCGCGUGAGUGAUGAAGGGUUUCGGCUCGUAAAACUCUGUUAUUAGGGAAGAAACAAACGUGUAAGUAACUUGUGCACGUUCUUUGACGGUACCUAAUCAGAAAGCCACGGCUAACUACGUGCCAGCAGCCGCGGUAAUACGUAGGUGGCAAGCGUUUAUCCGGAAUUUAUUGGGCGUAAAGCGCGCGUAGGCGGUUCUCUUUAAGUCUGAUGUGAAAGCCCACGGCUCAACCGUGGAGGGGUCAUUUGGAAACUGGGAGACUUUGAGUGCAGAAGAGGAAAGUGGAAUUCCAUGUGUAGCGGUGAAAUGCGCAGAGAUAUGGAGGAACACCAGUGGCGAAGGCGACUUUUCUGGUCUGUAACUG
This 710-nucleotide ribosomal RNA is filed under the name Staphylococcus arlettae. RNAcentral describes it as "bacterial SSU rRNA". It matches the Rfam family "Bacterial small subunit ribosomal RNA", at positions 66 to 742 of the family's 1533-position model. Lineage: Bacteria; Bacillati; Bacillota; Bacilli; Caryophanales; Staphylococcaceae. The record is from RNAcentral.